Molecule: ribosomal RNA, 250 nt
Filed under: uncultured Hymenobacter sp.
Lineage: Bacteria; Pseudomonadati; Bacteroidota; Cytophagia; Cytophagales; Hymenobacteraceae
Description: partial 16S ribosomal RNA
Rfam family: Bacterial small subunit ribosomal RNA
Source: RNAcentral
UACGGAGGGUGCAAGCGUUGUCCGGAUUUAUUGGGUUUAAAGGGUGCGUAGGUGGCCUUGUAAGUCCGUGGUGAAAGCCUCUCGCUUAACGAGAGAACUGCCAUGGAUACUGCAAGGCUUGAGUCCAGACGAGGUUGGCGGAAUGGAUGGUGUAGCGGUGAAAUGCAUAGAUACCAUCCAGAACCCCGAUUGCGUAGGCAGCUGACUAGGCUGGUACUGACACUGAGGCACGAAAGCGUGGGGAGCGAAC